GUCCAGACUCCUACGGGAGGCAGCAGUGAGGAAUAUUGGUCAAUGGACGAGAGUCUGAACCCGCCAAGUAGCGUGAAGGAUGACUGCCCUAUGGGUUGUAAACUUCUUUUAUAUGGGAAUAAAACGUUCCACGUGUGGGAUUUUGUAUGUACCAUAUGAAUAAGGAUCGGCUAACUCCGUGCCAGCAGCCGCGGUAAUACGGAGGAUGCGAGCGUUAUCCGGAUUUAUUGGGUUUAAAGGGUGCGCAGGCGGCGUGUCAAGUCAGCGGUAAAAUGUCGGGGCUCAACCCCGGCCGGCCGUUGAAACUGGCGUGCUCGAGUUGGAGAGAAGUAUGCGGAAUUCGUGGUGUAGCGGUGAAAUGCAUAGAUAUCACGAAGAACCCCGAUUGCGAAGGCAGCAUACCGGCUCCACACUGACGCUGAGGCACGAAAGCGUGGGUAUCGAACAGGAUUAGAUACCCGAGUA
This 465-nucleotide ribosomal RNA is filed under the name uncultured bacterium. RNAcentral describes it as "partial 16S ribosomal RNA". It matches the Rfam family "Bacterial small subunit ribosomal RNA", at positions 329 to 792 of the family's 1533-position model. The record is from RNAcentral.